GUCCUGCGUUCUCCGCUCCACAGGGGCAGGCUGCACGACCAGCCGGCUCCCAAGUGAGCGUGACCGGUGGCUCAGGUGGUCCGUGCUUCAACUGUGGCCGCGUCGGCCAUUUCUCGAGGGAGUGCCCGUAUCCGAGGCCGGGAGCCGCGGUGAGUGCCCCGCGACCACCGCUGGCUCAGUCAGCACCGCAGUCUUCGCAGGCGACUCACGUUCCCAAGCGUGGUCGAGCUCGCCACACUACCGCCGACGAGGUUCAGGAGGGUGACACCGUCCUGAUGGGGAACUUCGAACCGGCGAACGAGGCGAACGAGGCUGUCCCCGGAGGUUCCCGCAGUGGUGAUCUUGACUCGGGUAACUGUGAGCAGCAGCUAGGGCAGCAAGGCAAGCAUCUAUCAUAUUGCACCGUGUCAAAUUGAAAUCUAAUAUGUUAUCUACGCUUGUGUAUACAUUGCAUGUGUCGGGUACCGAGUUGGGUAGAACCUAUGCCUAUGCAUUCUCCCAUUUUGGUCACGUGCCGUGUUGUUCCUAGGAGCCUAGUGGAGUCAUCGAGGCCUACUUAUAGUUCGCUAUGCUUAGUGGUACUUAGGCUUUCCGGUAGAAGUCGACGACGGCGUCCACCGUUGUCGCGAGCCUAGGGCUUAUUACUUGUUCACACUUGUGGUUGUGUUGAGGAUGAGUCGGUUUGGUGAGUGGUGAGUUGAGACGAGGUGUGGGCGGUGUUAGGGGUGUCAUCUGCUCACGAGGAGUCCUCAGGCAGUUCGGGAAGGGAACCCGGACACCGUAGACCGCUUGCACCGGUUAAGCACCGAUCAUCGGUGUAGUCGGCUUUAGCACUUACCUUACUCACCACAUGCUGAUAUAAUGGUAGGCGAGCCGAUUACCUUCGCAGACGUGGUCAUGUGGGCCUCGUCAUAGACGGUGUGAGUCCGGUUUGAGUCCGGGCUUUUAGCAGUAUUAGUUUGCUCGAGGAGUAGUUCUAAUACCGCCUCGCCGAGCUAUGGUUGAUCCACAUGGUUGGGCCUGGUUGGGAAAGGUUGUCACGGGUACCCCCUUGUGCGCAUCUUAGCGGGUGGCACAAGCCGUAUGGUCCCUGUGUCGUGUGGGUCCAGGAGUAUCCCCCUGCAGGGUGUAUAAUCAGUUCGAACUGCCGCGCUCUCGGUCAUGAGCAUCGCUAUCGCUUAUCUCCACCGAGCGACCAUAUUUUGGUCGUAGAGUUUCGAUAUGGGUUGUGGCAUGGUUGGAUUGGGGUGGUUUGGUCGGUAUGUGGUCGGUGGUUUGGUGGUAAUGGUUUACUUUUAUACACUUGUUUACAUAUCUGUUGUGGUCAGUUGGUUGGCAGAGUUUGAGUCGGUGGUUGGUUAAGUCAGUUGCUUACACCUAGAGUCUAGGUUGCUUACCGCUUAAUGAACUUAAACAUGUCUUAAUCCUUGCUACAGCUUUAAAUGCAUGAUCCUUGGAGUCGAGAAUAUAUAUACUCAUACUGUGUAAGACUUGCUAGUACCUUCGUACUAAGGGGUGCUGCCCUUAAGUUGUUUUCAGGUUCACAGGUCGGCGAGGAAGAGGCAGUUUUCGGCUACUUUUUGCCUGCCGAUCCGGGUGGCGGGCAGGAGUAGCACAUUCUACUCCGAACUCCGACGCUUUUGGUAUGGAGCCUAAGGGCAUACGGCUCCAUACUCUUUUGUUGUAUAGGUUUUUCUUCCGCUGCUUAGUUGUUGCUGUUCUUCUUUUGUUGUAAAUUGUGGAAGCAGUUGCAUGUUUAAUAAUUGUAAUCCAGUUUAAUUA
Molecule: long non-coding RNA, 1782 nt
Organism: Phragmites australis (common reed)
Lineage: Eukaryota; Viridiplantae; Streptophyta; Magnoliopsida; Poales; Poaceae
Exons: 2
Source: RefSeq, a predicted model, not a curated record